RNAcentral lists this ribosomal RNA (229 nucleotides) under uncultured bacterium. RNAcentral's name for it is "partial 16S ribosomal RNA". It matches the Rfam family "Bacterial small subunit ribosomal RNA", at positions 568 to 796 of the family's 1533-position model. The record is from RNAcentral.
CAUGUAGGCGGCAUGACAAGUCUGGUGUGAAAUAUCUCGGCUCAACCGAGAAAACGCACUGGAAACUGUCAAGCUUGAGUAUCGGAGGGGAAGCUAGAAUUCCUGGUGUAGGGGUGAAAUCUGUAGAUAUCAGGAAGAAUACCGGUGGCGAAGGCGAGCUUCUGGCCAGAUACUGACACUGAGAUGCGAAAGCGUGGGGAGCGAACAGGAUUAGAUACCCUGGUAGUCC